UACGGAGGGUGCAAGCGUUAUCCGGAUUCACUGGGUUUAAAGGGUGCGUAGGCGGGUAAGUAAGUCCGUGGUGAAAUCUCUGAGCUUAACUCAGAAACUGCCGUGGAUACUAUUUGCCUUGAAUAUUGUGGAGGUGAGCGGAAUAUGUCAUGUAGCGGUGAAAUGCUUAGAUAUGACAUAGAACACCAAUUGCGAAGGCAGCUCACUACUCAAUCAUUGACGCUGAGGCACGAAAGCGUGGGGAGCAAACAGG
RNAcentral lists this ribosomal RNA (253 nucleotides) under uncultured bacterium. Its description in RNAcentral is "partial 16S ribosomal RNA". It matches the Rfam family "Bacterial small subunit ribosomal RNA", at positions 524 to 776 of the family's 1533-position model. The record is from RNAcentral.